RNAcentral lists this long non-coding RNA (1077 nucleotides) under Mus spicilegus (steppe mouse). RNAcentral's name for it is "lncRNA (ENSMSIG00000025962.1)". Lineage: Eukaryota; Metazoa; Chordata; Mammalia; Rodentia; Muridae. The record is from RNAcentral.
CUAAUACAGUCCACCAGACACUGUACUCAGGCACCGUAAGCAUCCUUAAGUCCUAGAAGAACGGAAUUUGAAAGUGUGUCUUGUAGCCAGCUGUACAGCCGACUGUGGUGAGAACAGGGAUGGAUAGAGUUCUGGUAUAAUAGGUUAGAAACAUCCCAGGGUCUCUCCUGACAUCUGGCUGACUUCCUGUAAAAGGUUUCUUCUGUUUUUUUCUUAUCUUCCCAGGCAGGGUGUACUUCUGAACUGCACGACCCUGCCAGGCAUACCCUUGCUGUGCUGUGUGGUCUGUGCUGAUACCCAUCUUCCUGGACCUCUCUCUCUCUCUCUCGAAAGUGGUCUGUAUUGGUCGUGGAGGCUUGCUGGGAAUCCUAAGUGAGACCCUGCUCUUCAAGUCAACCUCCCUGAGUCUCUGUGUGUAGAUUAAGCGCAGUGACCGUUUCUUAGUUUUUGUUUUUCACUUGGUCCACCGGAGCUGCACUGCUUCAUCCCUGUUCUGUCUACACUCCCCGGCUUGAGCUACCCUGAUUCUUGCCUUUCCUCCACAGGCACACUUUCUCUUCUACUCUGUAAACAUGAGAUGCUCUGGAUUUCUUGCUUAGGUUUUUGUGUUAUCUUCUGUGAUGAUUUCAUCCAGGCCUGCAGCUGUGAAGAUCUUCUUUCCAGUAGCCACUCCCAAGUUUAUAGGCCAUUGCAGGCCAGGGCUCUCUCUCCAGAACUGAAUGGUUUCUCAGGACAGAGCCCAGCUUAAGAGAAUCUUGGACAUCAUUUAGUUCAAGCUCCCGCUAACAUCAACCAUCUCUGAAGGUUCUUGAAUAGAGGAUCAGCCCCAGCUGAAAUCCACCUUCAGUCAUGGAGAACUGGAUACCUGGCCCACCCUCACCCAGGAGGUGGUAAGAGUUCUUUACACCCCACCGUCUGUCUUACCAAACCAUGAGAGUCGUACUCAGGAACUAAAGUUGACAUUUGACUCCCCAGAUUUCCACAGCUAAGCUAUCUCAGUGGUUCCUGGAUUCCUUACCAACUUGGUCAUAUUCCUCAAGCACAUUUGAAAUAAAAGUGUCAGACAGUGGUGGCCCA